Molecule: ribosomal RNA, 409 nt
Filed under: uncultured bacterium
Lineage: Bacteria
Description: bacterial SSU rRNA
Rfam family: Bacterial small subunit ribosomal RNA
Source: RNAcentral
UGGCCUUGACAUCCCGGGAACCUCCCGGAGACGGGAGGGUGCCUACUUUGUAGGAACCCGGUGACAGGUGCUGCACGGCUGUCGUCAGCUCGUGUCGUGAGAUGUUGGGUUAAGUCCCGCAACGAGCGCAACCCUCGUCCUUAGUUACUAACGGUUCGGCCGAGGACUCUAAGGAGACUGCCCGGGCAACCGGGAGGAAGGUGAGGACGACGUCAAGUCAUCAUGGCCCUUACGGCCAGGGCUACACACGUGCUACAAUGGCGUGUACAGUGAGAAGCGAUACCGCGAGGUGGAGCAAAUCUACAAAACACGUCCCAGUUCGGAUUGCAGUCUGCAACUCGACUGCAUGAAGCCGGAAUCACUAGUAAUCGUGGAUCAGCAAUGCCACGGUGAAUACGUUCCCGGGUCU